AGAACGAACGCUGGCGGCACGCCUAACACAUGCAAGUCGAGCGCCCAGCAAUGGGAGCGGCGGACGGGUGAGGAACACGUGGGAAUAUGCCUUUCGGUUCGGCACAACUGCGGGAAACUGCAGCUAAUUCCGGAUACGCCCUUACGGGGAAAGAUUUAUCGCCGAAAGAUUAGCCCGCGUCUGAUUAGCUAGUUGGUGAGGUAAUGGCUCACCAAGGCUUCGAUCAGUAGCUGGUUUGAGAGAACGACCAGCCACACUGGGACUGAGACACGGCCCAGACUCCUACGGGAGGCAGCAGUGGGGAAUCUUGGACAAUGGAGGAAACUCUGAUCCAGCGAUGCCGCGUGAGUGAUGAAGGCCUUCGGGUUGUAAAACUCUUUUACCAGGGAAGAUAAUGACUGUACCUGGAGAAUAAGCUCCGGCUAACUUCGCGCCAGCAGCCGC
This 444-nucleotide ribosomal RNA is filed under the name uncultured bacterium. Its description in RNAcentral is "SSU rRNA". It matches the Rfam family "Bacterial small subunit ribosomal RNA", at positions 26 to 518 of the family's 1533-position model. The record is from RNAcentral.